RNAcentral lists this ribosomal RNA (841 nucleotides) under uncultured bacterium. RNAcentral's name for it is "bacterial SSU rRNA". It matches the Rfam family "Bacterial small subunit ribosomal RNA", at positions 628 to 1465 of the family's 1533-position model. The record is from RNAcentral.
CGNUCCGGGCUGACUUGAGGGAGNUAGGGGAGAAUGGAAUUCCUGGUGGAGCGGUGGAAUGCGCAGAUAUCAGGAGGAACACCGGUGGCGAAGGCGGUUCUCUGGACCUUUCCUGACGCUGAGAAGCGAAAGCGUGGGGAGCGAACAGGCUUAGAUACCCUGGUAGUCCACGCUGUAAACGGUGGGUACUAGGUGUGGGGGACAUUCCACGUUCUCCGUGCCGUAGCUAACGCAUUAAGUACCCCGCCUGGGGAGUACGGCCGCAAGGCUAAAACUCAAAGGAAUUGACGGGGCCCCGCACAAGCGGCGGAGCAUGCGGAUUAAUUCGAUGCAACGCGAAGAACCUUACCUGGGUUUGACAUAUGCCGGAAGCGUUCAGAGAUGGGCGUGCCUUUUUGGUCGGUUUACAGGUGGUGCAUGGCUGUCGUCAGCUCGUGUCGUGAGAUGUUGGGUUAAGUCCCGCAACGAGCGCAACCCUCGUCCAAUGUUGCCAGCGGGUUAUGCCGGGGACUCAUUGGAGACCGCCGGGGUCAACUCGGAGGAAGGUGGGGAUGACGUCAAGUCAUCAUGCCCCUUAUGUCCAGGGCUUCACGCAUGCUACAAUGGCCGGUACAGUGAGCUGCGAGCCUGUGAGGGUGAGCGAAUCUCUAAAAGCCGGUCUCAGUUCGGAUUGGGGUCUGCAACUCGACCCCAUGAAGUCGGAGUCGCUAGUAAUCGCAGAUCAGCAACGCUGCGGUGAAUACGUUCCCGGGGCUUGUACACACCGCCCGUCAAGUCAUGAAAGUCGGUAACACCCGAAGCCGGUGGCCUAACCCGUUUGGGAGGGAGCUGUCGAAGGUGG